RNAcentral lists this ribosomal RNA (497 nucleotides) under uncultured bacterium. RNAcentral's name for it is "partial 16S ribosomal RNA". It matches the Rfam family "Bacterial small subunit ribosomal RNA", at positions 28 to 507 of the family's 1533-position model. The record is from RNAcentral.
GAUGAACGCUGGCGGCGUGCCUAAUACAUGCAAGUCGAGCGAACAGACGAGGAGCUUGCUCCUCUGACGUUAGCGGCGGACGGGUGAGUAACACGUGGAUAACCUACCUAUAAGACUGGGAUAACUUCGGGAAACCGGAGCUAAUACCGGAUAAUAUAUUGAACCGCAUGGUUCAAUAGUGAAAGACGGUUUUGCUGUCACUUAUAGAUGGAUCCGCGCCGCAUUAGCUAGUUGGUAAGGUAACGGCUUACCAAGGCAACGAUGCGUAGCCGACCUGAGAGGAUGAUCGGCCACACUGGAACUGAGACACGGUCCAGACUCCUACGGGAGGCAGCAGUGGGGAAUCUUGCGCAAAGGGCGAAAGCCUGACGGAGCCACGCCGCGUGAGUGAUGAAGGUCUUCGGAUCGUAAAACUCUGUUAUUAGGGAAGAACAAAUGUGUAAGUAACUAUGCACGUCUUGACGGUACCUAAUCAGAAAGCCACGGCUAACUACGUG